RNAcentral lists this unclassified non-coding RNA (372 nucleotides) under soil metagenome. Its description in RNAcentral is "partial contains 5.8S ribosomal RNA, internal transcribed spacer 2, and large subunit ribosomal RNA". The stretch from base 1 to 120 matches the Rfam family "5.8S ribosomal RNA", at positions 35 to 154 of the family's 154-position model. The record is from RNAcentral.
GAUGAAGAACGCAGCGAAAUGCGAUAGGUAAUGUGAAUUGCAGAAUUCCGUGAAUCAUCGAGUCUUUGAACGCACAUUGCGCCCCCUGGUAUUCCGGGGGGCAUGCCUGUCCGAGCGUCAUUGCAACCCUCAAGCACGGCUUGUCUAAUGGGCGGUUCGUCUGCGGCCAUCCGCCGGAGACGCCCCCGAAAUGCAGUGGGGAUGUUCGCUAAAUCGCAGCGUCAGGAAUGGAAAUAAACAAUGCUGACGGCUCGAUGUCGAACGUCCACCUAAGGCGUGCCGCCCCCCGGGGUGUGCCGCCCAACCUCUCUCGGUUGACCUCGGAUCAGGUAGUGAUACCCGCUGAACUUAAGCAUAUCAAUAAGCGGAGGA